UACAGAGGUCUCAAGCGUUGUUCGGAUUCAUUGGGCGUAAAGGGUGCGUAGGCGGUCGCGCAAGUCGGAUGUGAAAUCUUAGGGCUCAACCCUGAAACUGCAUUCGAUACUGCGUGGCUCGAGUACUGGAGAGGAGACUGGAAUUUACGGUGUAGCAGUGAAAUGCGUAGAUAUCGUAAGGAAGACCAGUGGCGAAGGCGAGUCUCUGGACAGUUACUGACGCUGAGGCACGAAGGCCAGGGGAGCAAACGGG
Molecule: ribosomal RNA, 253 nt
Filed under: uncultured bacterium
Lineage: Bacteria
Description: partial 16S ribosomal RNA
Rfam family: Bacterial small subunit ribosomal RNA
Source: RNAcentral